CUUUGGCCCAUUUUAAAGCAAAUUACCCACUUUGCGGGGGGGGGGUGGAUCUGAAAGCUUUGCCCCUCUAGUUUCACAGACAAUAGACGAAGGGAAACAAAAGCUGUUACAGCACAAGCUAAUCAAUGUUGAAAGCCUGUGCCAUCUCUCCAGAAAGCGAAAAAUGGAGGAUCCCAGAGCGAAGAGACAAAAGAAUUAAUUCAGGGAUGACUGGGAGUGGCCCAAGAACAACGAAUGAGGAAGCAAAAAAUGGCUCUAUUAUUACAGAUUUAAAAAUUAGAGAAAGGACGCAAUUAGCGCCCCAUAUGGGCUUGUUUCAGCUUUAGAUGGCCCAAAAUCCUUUCCGCGCGGGAAUUCCACAGGGCGGAGACCUCGGUUCCCCCCCUCUACGCGAGCUAGAGAAAGGAAAGCCGAAGCCGCAGUUUCUCUGGAAGGUUCCGAGAGAAGCGCGCGCACCCCUUCACUGGCCGACGGGAGACCCGACACCAGGUGGCGCUGCCGCACUGAGAGCUGGGGCCUGGGCCGCUGGGGAGACGGGAAGAGGCGUCACCGGAUCCUACCUUUCGCUCCAGCCACCGGAAAUGCGCGUUCGCACCAGCCUCUGGAUCCUGUGAAUAUGGAGAGUCCUACCCCUUAAGAAAAUCAACAGAAGAAAGGUAUCCAUAGAAACAAAACUGAAAACACCUAGAAUCUUGAUGGUGUACCAAAUCAAAUGUCAACUGGAAUGCGACUAGAAGCAAAGGUAGGUGACUUUGUUACAGAUGCCUUGGUGAGAGAACCAUGUGCUCCUUGUGAAAGUAAGGACAAAACUGCAUUCAUAUGUUCUUUAGUAUUCUUGUUGUUUUUAAAAGUUAACAUUAAGUGUACCCAUUUUUUAUUACAACACGAGGAACUAUGUAGCAAAUAUAUGUAUUUGUUAAUAUUUACAAAAUAGGAAAAAAUGCUGCUUUCUGUUAAGGUAACAUGUUUAGUCCAGUGUGGUAAGUAGAGUCACAACAGGGUACUACAUGCACUUCAGUUAAUCCUUCCAUCCUUAGCGAAAAGAUGCAUUGUAGUUGCAAAUUUCCUUGACUGUUCUUAGAAAAGUCUUCCUAUUGACCUAGACUGUUUUCCCAUGGUUCAGGGGGCCAGAAAAGAUAUGAGGCUGUGAAACACAUCUAAAAACAUCAACUCUUAACAUUAAACAUAUUGUAAGUAGUUGCUUUAUUUCUACCAAC
This 1217-nucleotide long non-coding RNA is filed under the name Fukomys damarensis (Damara mole-rat). RNAcentral describes it as "lncRNA (ENSFDAG00000032410.1)". Lineage: Eukaryota; Metazoa; Chordata; Mammalia; Rodentia; Bathyergidae. The record is from RNAcentral.